RNAcentral lists this long non-coding RNA (11503 nucleotides) under Mytilus galloprovincialis (Mediterranean mussel). Lineage: Eukaryota; Metazoa; Mollusca; Bivalvia; Mytilida; Mytilidae. The record is from RNAcentral.
UUGUGAUAAAAGUAGUUCAAAACACAACUCUGUGGAAGAUAAUUCCAUGUCUGCAUCAGUGAAAUCACAACUUGAAGAUAUAUGCAAGCCAUAUGUUGUGGAUUUAGGAGUACCGUAUUCUACGAAUAAUUCACCGAAAUAUAUUGAAACGAACAUUGAUGCUCCUAAUGAUGAGAUUGUUUCAAUACCUCCUUCAAAUCGCAGGAAGAGUUCUGGAAACUCUUUGCUGUCUUUCGUUAUGCCCAAUACUCCUACAAGACAGAAAUUCACUUCCCCUAUUGCACGAAUUGAUAGUUUUCAUAGUGAGGAUUUCGAUAAUAUUGACGGAUAUGAGAAUGAAAUGUCAAUCAAAUUCGACAACUCCUGGUUCUGUAAAUACUCCCACUUUUCCUUGUUUUGCCUAUAAACUUCAGCUACAUAAAAAGAAGAAUGGUAAAUUAAAGUCAUCUAAACAGAAAGAAGAGAAUGAGAUAAAUGUCAAUGACCAAAAGAAUGACAGAUGUUCGAGGUGAGAGAGGUUUUUCUCACUGAUUGAUUAUAUUUGUUAAAUAUAAGAAGAUGUGGUAUGAGUGCCAAUGAGACAACUUUCCACAAGAUACCAAAUGACACAGAAAUUAACAACUAUAGGUCACUGUAUGGCUUUCAACAAUGAGCAAAGCCCAUACUGCAUAGUCAGCUAUAAAAGGCCCAGAAAUGACAAAUGUAAAACAACUCAAACGAGAAAACUAACGGCUUAAUUUAUGUACAAAAUUGAACGAAAAACAAAUAAUUAACACAUCAACAAACGACAACCACUGAAUUACAGGCUUCUGACUUCGGACAGGCACUACAUACAGAAUGUGGCCGGGUUAAACAUGUUGGAGGGAUAUAUUUGUUGCAUGAUUUCUGAUGAAUAUUGUCCCAGUCAGAACUUCAGCCUGCUAUUAAGGAAUGCAAUGGGCUAAGGCCUGUUGUUUCUAGCAGCAGCUUCAACAGUGUAUUAGUUUGUGAUUAGGGUUUUGACAUUUAUUUAGCUGUUCAUUGAACAUAGAAAUGUAUCAGGCUUUAAUUAUUGUUUUAAGAUACAAUGCAAUAGUUUAACAUAAAGUUGUGAUCACAUCACCUUGAAACUUAAAACAUCAUAAUUAUAAUAUGAAUUAUUAUAACAAUUGUGUCCGAUAAGAAAUUCUUAAAAGAACUGAAAAUAAAAAAAAGGAUAGUAAAAUUAAAUUUAACGUAAGUUGUACAAAACAGCUUGUUAUAUGUGUCAUAAAACUAGUAAAAUUCUUAUGGACAAUUUUUACAUUUACAAUCUGUUAAUUGACUGUGUGAUAUUUGAAAGUACCAAGAUGUAAGUACAGAAUAAAUAAGGAAAUGUGCUAUGAUUGCCAAUAAAACAACUAUACACUCAAGUUCAAAUGAGGUGGAUGUAAGGAAUUAUAGGUCACAGUAUAUAGAAUGAGAAAAACCAAUACAGUAUAGUCAGAUAUAAAAGGUCUCGACAUGAAAAAUAUGAAACUACCUGUCUAACUUAUAACAAAACAUGAGGUUUAAUAUACUCAACAAAGGUACAUUGUUUACUUCAUAUUUUAUUAGUACAUUUUGCUUUCUUAUCUUAGAUUAGUCUUGAUUUUUACUGUGGAUGCCAUUGUUUGUUUCUGUUGGUGUCAAUUAAGUUUUGUGGUGGAAAAGAAUAUGGUAUUUUUUCUAAUUCUUGCUCCUCAUAUAAAAAAAGAUACCAAUACCUUUAGAGAUUGCCACUAGAGAAAGAGAGAAGGAUGCAAAAGGAAGAAACAGGGCUUGCAACCCUGACUAAAGAACUAAUAGAAAAAGACAAAAAGCUGAAGAUGAAUUUCAUCUUUUCUUAGUUUAUAGUUGAUUUAUUUUGAUUGUAGGAAUGACAUUGAGGCCACCUGUUCAGAUCCAUUGUUAGUCGGAUCAGGAAGUGAUAAAAGUACAUCUGAUGAAAACUCUGACAAGCCUCUUCAUAGUAGUAAAGCCAAAAUCCAUCCUAUGGACAAAGGUUAGUGUCCAAGCACCCGGACAAUAGUUAUAGUUGCAAUUUUAUAAAACAAACAGGAUAUAAACUUGUUGUAAUGUUCUUUCAAUUUUUCAUUUCAAUUAAAAUUCUGAGUUUCACAGUUCAAAAUGGAAGUCUUUCUUUGUCAGGUGUAAAAACACUAUACAUGGAUGCAGUUAAAGUAUUCUGUAGUUAACAAUAAAAAAAAAUGCUCUUUUCCUUUGCCAUGCAGAGAUAUAUAUUAUGAUAGUUGUGAAAUAAUAUACUACAUGUUUUUACAUAUAAUUUAUUAUUCACUGCUAUCAAAAUAUACACAAGAAAACUCAAAAGCAUUAAACACUGAGAAUUUUGAAGAACAGAGGACACUUUCAUCUUGUCAAUUGCCUGAGAGUAAACACAUGUACAGUGAUAUUUUAUUUCAUAAUUAUCAAAAUACCAAUGGUUUUAAUAGUGAAAAGAACAGCUAAGUUGAAUUGAAAGCUGUACUUUCCUACUAAAAGAUUGUAUGAAAUAUGACAACAAUAUUCUGUAAUGAAUGAAUUCUUCACAGUAGUAGCAUAAAUGUAGAUGACAUAAGUUCCAAGCUUUGGCAGGGGAAUAAACUUCAGAAUAAAAUCAUUUGCGAUUGCAAAAUGCUGUCAGGGUUGAUGAAGAUGUAAAUAAAGUGUGAUUUUUCUUUCAGAUGACAAGGACUCCACAAAAAGCUGCAAAUCUUUAAACAAAUCUAAAUGUACUGUUGAUUCUGACCCUAUCUGUAAUGAUAUACAGGUGAAAAAACAACAGGUAAGGAUGGUGCUCAGGGUGGCAGCUACCACAUAGUCAGCACUGUAGAAUUAUGUCAUUAGAUGUGUAUAGCAAUCACAGUGCUUUAUAUACUCAAAUAUUAACUUACUUUGUGCAAUGUCUGUAGACAUUUUCAUUUAGGAUAUUUUUAAGACCGAAAUGGACAAUUUUUGAGGCCUUCAAAAUAACCACAUCUAAAUAGAUAUCAGUAUAACACAGUGAAACAAAUAUCAUAUUAUCAGUAAAUAUCAACAUUUCUUUUUCAUGACAUGUUAAACUUGGCCAAUAACAAUUUGGCUAGAAUUUUACAGAGAGUUUGCAAACCCUUCCACUAUGAUUUGUUUAAAUGAGAUGUUUUCCCAUUUUGCUAUUUUAUAACUUGAUAUCUAGUUGAAAUGCUGCUGACCCAUAUUUUUUGUCAUCAUCUUUUCUGGAAUAGUCAAGAUUGACAUUUAUUUAUGGCAUUUUUGAAAAUUUUCUAAACUAGCUUAUAGCAUGGUGAUGUGAAGCAAGCAAAAGGACAGGCAGGGAAAAGAGGAUACAUAAUUAUGGUUACCUCCUACAGCUUUUUACUCAAACCUCAAUCCAGUCAUUAAGUUUUUUAUUCAUUUAUAAAUAUUAUUUUACCAGUUUUCAACAACUUAUUCAUAUAACUUUCAAUUUUAAAAAAAAGGGGUAUUUUUUUUUUAUUUACUCUAUAAUUUUAGAGUUAUGAGUUAAGAUAGGGGAGCUUCACUAUAUUUUAUUUAUUAAAGGGUUUCCAAAGCAGUGAUUCAAACAUGUUUCAACACUCUGUGGUUGUAUCAUGCUGUCGGCAAGCAUAGCCCUUUAAACUGAUCCAGUUUUUAUUAGGUCAGUAUUUUUCAUGUUAAGAAAAACUUUACACAAACUUUUAUUUUAAGCAGGUAACACCCUAUUAGUAGUCCCCAUCUGCCCUCUGCUCUCAAAAGGUGUAUACUCUUUAGAUAUCAAUGGGAGUCUUACAAUAUAUUCAACAUUUUGGAAAUUCCCUCUUAAUACAGGGAUUACUUCUGCACCAAAUCAAUCUAAUUGAGCAAUUUUCUGGAACAAAUUUCCAGCUUGCUUAACUAUAUUUGAGGAAUAGUUGGAUUAUCUUGUUAAGCAGGGUAAGCGAUACAGACAGGUUUUUUUUUAAGCCUUUUCAUCAUUUUCAAUACCAGUUUCUUUUGUAUAGAAGUAAGUUUUAAAAGUUAUGAAAAAAUCUAAUUGGAAACCAAUUUCAGGAGACAGCAUAAACAUUUUGUAAGUUGAAUAAAUUCAUUUCUAUCUUGCCACCACAAAUUAUAUUAAGCUAUAUUAACUAAUCAUUACAAUAGCAUGAUCUUCUCUCUUGAUGGUGCAUAGAAAUGCAUGUCAGAAAUAUUAAUCAACUACUGUACGCAGCUGAAUUACAAACACACUGGUAAAACUGAAAUUGUCAAAAGAUGUCUUUUGUAUGUAUGGAGAAAUUAUGGGUUUGAUAUGUAUGGGGGAAAAAAUAAUAUUGAAACUAGUUAAUGUUUGUGUGUUUAAUCAUAUAUUUGAUGCUUUUUUUAGCAUCAUGUUGAGUAUUUUGCUAUUUUUGCUAUUUUAAGAAAUGAAAAUUACGUUAUCAUAACCAUGAUUACUAAUUUUUUUUCUUUGGGGGAAAAAGAGGGGGGGGGGGGGCAGUAAUCCCAUUUAAAUUAAUCUGUAAGGAAGCUAACUCAGGUUUUUUUUAUAUGUUUCCUCUUAAAUUUCAGGUUUUUUUUAUGUAUAUUGAUUGCUUAAAUGUUGGAUAGAACAAUUUAAAAAAAAAAUAACAAAUAUUGAAUAGUAAGGACUCUAUCAACUCUAGUGCUACUAGCAUCUAUGAAACACCAUACAAUUUGUAUCUGUUACCAUUUGAUAUUCAAAGAAUUGUUUCCAUGGCAUGUAAUGCAUAUAUAAUAUUAUCAAUAUUUGAUUUUUUAUUUAUCAUUAUAUAUAUAUGCCUUUCUUUUUUCUUUUUUUUCCAUACCACUUUUAAAAAAAAAAAAAAAUUUGAUAAUAAAUGUUUUUCUCAUUUUUUUGUUCUUUUUUUACAAUCUGUGAUUGUUAUAUUGGGGAAAUUUUUAGUCUUUAAAAGUCACAAAAAAAGGUUUUAUAAUUAAUCCUUUUGUUACGAAUAUAUGUGUAAUGAUUGUCACCUAGGUUACUGGUCAUGUGAUGGGUUUUAUUAUUAUAUAUUGUAAUUUUUGUAUACUUUCUUGCAUUUGCUUUUUUAAUGUUGAUGUUUCAAUGACUUUAAACAAAAAGCUUUAUGAAAAACUUGUAUUUGAUUUUUUCUUGAAUGUUUAAAAUGUAGGCAGUAUAAUAUAUAAAUUCACUACACUUUAGACAUUUAGGGAGGAAAUAUUCAGAGACGUUGCCUUCCAUUUACUCGUUUUAAGUAAGAUAUAUGUACUUUAUCUAUUUGUCAGACUUUCAUGAAAUUUUUUCUGUAAUAUAAAAGAAUUAGGAGUGUUUAGAAUUCAAAAAAGGAUUUUAAAAGAUAUUGUAAAUUAAAAAUUGGAAAACAAUUAAAAUACAAUAAAAGUGUAUCCUACAUGGACAUAAAUCAUAUUAGUAUUUACUGUUAUCAAAGUUUCAAAUUUUCAAAAAGAAAAAUUUUAAUUUUAACAGAUGAUGGAUUAGGACCUAUAAAUCUAGAUUUCUAAUCAAGAAUCAUAGAAGUAAAUAAGAUACAUAGUUUUUAAAAUCCUACAAUUUAGUUUUUUACUGCUGUCUUGAGUUGUAUGGAGGGCUUGAUAAUACUGCUAAGAGAUAAGGUUUUGCUUUAAAUAAGACUAGCAUUGGAGUUAGGGAAGUGGUUUGGGAAAGAUUUAGAUUAAGCAAAAUUAUAUCAUUACACAAAGUAAAAAAGUUCUGUUAUUUUAUAACCAAUAAUGUGGUAAGACAAGAUUUUAAAAGAUCAAUAUUUUGUAUUUUAAAUGUUUAUUGUUUGUGGUUUGAACUUGUUUAAAGUUGGGCUGUGUUUUUGUUGAAGCAAUGAAAAGAGUAUUUUACUCUAAUCAAAAACCCUUUUUUUUUAAAUUUCCCAUAUGAAUUUAGUGUUAUUGACUUUGAAGUAAACUGUUUCAAGAAAAUUGACCCUUACUUUAAAAUACCUUCAGAAACUCUAUAUUAAUCCAAAUAUAAAUGAUAAGCAUUAUAUAAGAAUUUUGACUAGGUAGAUUUAAAGUGGAAAAUAUAUAAUAAGAAGUAAAUGUGGUUCUUUACAUGUGUUCUUGCUUUCAUUUUCAUCACACAUGCUGCAAUGCAGAGUGUUCAGAUUUAGUUCUGCUGUCCAAUAAGCUUGCACAGCUUUAUGCUUUUUCUUACCACAGUCUAUCUAUAUUUAGACUUUAAUUUCAAGAUUAGAAAUAUAUUCACUUCAUAUAUCAUAGCUUUAUAGUGACUUUUUUCUUUCAUUUUCCCUCAUGCUGCAGGCAUUUUGAUCACAUGACCAGCCCUCAGGUAAUCCAUUCACAUAUUAUGCAUCCCAGGAUUCCAUGAAAAUGGUCUCUCUGCAAUGUCACAUGUUUGCUUUUUAAUAACCAUUGAAUAAUUACUCAUUUCUGCUUCUCUUAAAUCUCUUCAGUUGCAAACUGUCUUGACUAUCUACCUCAAAGCAUGAACUCUCUGAACGUUUAACUCCUGAUUUUUUUGAUAGAAAUGUGAUCUGAAUGUGCUAAAUUUUAUACAUUUUCAAUAUAUAGGUGUACUGAGUGAUGCAUGUUUAAAAAAAAGAAAUUUUAGGCUUCAGAGUAUUGUUCAUAAAUAUGUCAAAGGUCAAGAAUUUAUUAAUUCACAUUUCAUAUUUUAAACAUAAUUUCCACUUUUGUCAUCAUAACCAGUAGACUUGGUAGUACUAUUCUUGUUUUUUGGGGUAGUCAAACACUUUUUUUUAAGCUUUUUAUAAAUAGUCUAUUUGAACUUAAAUGUAGAACACAAAUAUAUGAAGUCCAAUAUAUAUACCAUACUAUAUAAACGAGUCUAAAUUGAAAACUACGUUCAAACCUAUGAUUGCGUUGGAUAAAAACCGCAAUUUUUAUACUGUGUGCAUGUAACAAAUUUCGAUGUAGAAGGGUCUAAAAAAGCACAAACAACAUUUCCAAAAGACCAAAAAAUGAAAAAUAUUUUAAACAAAACGCAUUGACUUACAGGUCGAACAACCUGAUGUUCUUUACCCUGCUGACUGCAUUGCGAUUGCCAAUAAAUUGAUCACAAGAUGUAACAAUGGAUUUAAUAUAAUUUAAUACUAAACAGAAAAAAUAAUUCAACUUGUGGCCACGAUGUUAUGCCACAAACAUACGGUGUCAAUAUUUUUUUAGUACACCAGAUCCGGAUUUCGACAAUAAAUGUCUCUUCAGUGAUGUUAGGUCGAAACGGUAUUUGGAAGGCCAUAAAAAGUACCCUCAUUUUUAGAAAAAGUACCCUCAUUUUUAGAUAAACUCUUGAAUUUUAAGAGUCAAUAUAGGAUGAACGGAUCAUAUAAACCGGAGGGAAAAUAUGAUAACAAACCCAAACGAAAAAAUAUAAACGAAAAAUGAAACUACGUUCAAACUAUGUUGCGUUGGUAAAACCGCCAAUUUUUACAGCGGUGCAUGUAAAACAAAUUUCGAUGUAAAAGGGUUAAAAACAGCACACAACAUUUUCCAAAAGAAGAAAAGUGAAAAAGUAUAUUAAACAAAACGCAUUUGAACUAACAGGUCGAACAACUGAUGUUCUUUAACCCUGCUGACUGCCAUUGCGAUUGCCAAAUAAAAUUGAUCACAAGAUGUAACAAAAUGAUUUAAUAAAAUUUAAUACUAAACAGAAAAUAACACCGUAUGUUUUGGCAUACAUCGGUGGCACAAGUUGAUUAUUUUUCUGUUUAAGUAUUAAAUUUAUAUUAAGAUCCAUUUUGUUACAUCUUGUGAUCAAAUUUUUUGGGCAAUCGCCAAUGGCAGUCAGCAGGUUAAAGAACAUCAGUUGUCGACCUGUAAUCAAAUGCGUUUUGUUUAAAUAUACUUUUUCACUACCAUACUAUAUAUAUAUUUUUGUUAAAAUGUUCUGCUGUAAAGUUUUCUUUAUAAUGCCAGUUGGUUCACAAAGUAUGUAAGUGUAAUGUGUAUCACUCCUGUAAUGAAGUCAGAGGGUCUGAAUGGGGUUUACAGAAUAGAGAAUACUCAAGGUCAAGACAACAGAAAAAUGGACCAAAAAAUCCAUUACCGUUAAUAAGAAAAAUAGACCAAAAAACCCAAAGAAUAGAGAUUAAUGAGCUGCUAAAAUAUAAUGAACAGGAAAUCAGCAAAAUAGAUAACAAAUAGGAAAAGUGACAUAUUUUUUUAAAAAAAUAUACAGACUUGAAAGGACCUCACCGUCCAGACGCUCAGUCAGCAGGAAACAAAAACAAAUGGCACCACAAGGAAUAGAAAAUGAUAGAAAUAUACUAUCUAUUAUGUCUUAGCAUUUAUAUAAAAAAAAAAUACUUUGGGGGUUAUGGCUCAAACCAUUUAGGAAUUUGGGGCAAAAAAAAGGGGAAAAACAGGUUUUUCUGGUUACAGAGAAUUGAGACAAUUUUAAAGCAGUGUAAGGGAGAUAAUCCAAAUCAAUUUAAAGAACAAUGUUUUAUUCUCCUUACACUGCUGUAAAUUAGUUUCAGAAAGGAUGAUUGUCUUGAGGUGAUAAGCUGUCAAUUUAUUUUUAGCAGUUACAAUUAAUUAUAUUAAUGUUAGCCAUAUAGUAUGUCAUUUUAUAUUUUAAAAGGUUUAUGAUGUAUAUAAAUGGGUAAUUAUGGUUGCAAACUCCAUUAGAAAUUUGAAGUGAGAUAUUGACCAUAUCUUGAGGGAAAGAUUUUUUUCAGAAUAAGGGACAGGGGGAGGUGAAAAAAAUUUGAGAGGGGGGACAAUUUUUCUCAUUUCCGAUUUCAGAAAUGAAAAGAAAAUUCCUUCAAAUAUUUUUUUGGGGGGUGAAUUCGCAACAGCAUAGUGUAUUGCACAAAAGCAAAAAAAUGAAUAUAAAUUCAAAUCAUAUAAACAAUUUGAAGUUCUUUGACUACAGUUAUUCUAUGUCAGAAACCUGUCUGUGUCAAAAAUUUAGUUACAAUCCAAAUUCAGACCUGUAUCAAGCGUGAAUUUUGUGUCCAUUUUGGUCUCAACUUUUUAGGGUUGGACAUCUGCGGUCGUAUCCAGCUGCGCUCUGUGAAGCAAUUUAUUAAUUCAGUAUUGACUUCAUUGUAAUUGGUUAGAUAAAUAGAUAUUAAAUCCAGAUGCAUAUAUUUAGUCGUAAAUAAGCAUUUCAUACCCAAGUAAUUACCUGUAUAUGAUGAUAUUUAAUAAAUACUUUAAGGGAAUAUAAAUAUAGCUCAUGGAAAGAUUUUUAUGAAGUGUACUUGAAAAUGAACAAAGUAGGUUUAAUAUAAUAUAAUUUGUGGAAAUUUUCUGCUGAAAAUGGAGAGGGGGGAUUUAAUUUCCAUAUAAAAGCAAUUUUUUUUAAAGAAGAUAGAUUUUCAUUUUAUAUCAUAUCAUCUCCACAGAAUCUAAACAAAAUACUUAAAAAUAUUUACGAGAGCUGAAAUAUAUCUAAUUUUAAUUGUAAACUUUUUUCAUAGCUUGCUUUUCGGCUGCAAAUAAACAGGUUAAUCCUGAGAAUUUCGAAGAUAUUUUUUUAUUUCAGUCAUUCAAGAUACAGGAAUUAGCAGUUCUAUUUCAUAACAUUUGUUGUGUCACUAAUUUCAGAGUUAUAAAAACAAAUAUUUGCAUAAUUUCAUUAAUUUUAAUUUUCUUUCCAGAAUUUAAUAGGAAAACCAUGCAACUCUCAACUUUCGGAUAAUAAGAAAACUUGUGUGAAAUAUUCUCCAUGGAAACAUGGAUUUGUACAGUUUUUGAAGAAGAAAAAACAAGGACAAAGACAAGGUAGCCGGAAUAACAAUGACUCUUUUCGCUCUAACAAUCAUACUCUCUUAAAAACUAACCUAUCUAAUCAUAAUGGUCAUGCUCGCUGUUCUUACAAAGCUCUACCUAACUUGGAUGACAAUGGUUUGGAAGCCGAGACUCAGUUCCAGACUAAAUCACUAGCUGUUCGUCCAGGUUAGUACAAUUGGAAAAAAUACUUUAUUUGUUAGAUUUUGAAAAAAGUCUUCUCAAUGAAAAACAAAUUCAACUGACUUAGAUAUAUAAUGUGUUAGAUUUAAAAAUAGGUUUCCUGCAAUAAAAGAAACCAAAUUCAAUUCUAAUAACUUUCACAAGUAUGCCUAGAUCUAUAAGAUGGAUUAAAACUGAUAGCCUUCAUGCUUAAUUUCUUUGUAGACCGUAAUCAAUCUUGUACUGGAAAGGACAUUACCUUCCAACCAAAGUAUAUACCAUGGAAAGGACAUUACCUUCCAACCAAAGUAUAUACCAUGGAAAGGACAUUACCUUCCAACCAAAGUAUAUACCAUGGAAAGGACAUUACCUUCCAACCAAAGUAUAUACCAUGGCAAUGGUUAUAUCUGUAUUAUAUCUUGAAAAGUUCUGUUAGUAUGGAUCAUCUUUUGCCUGAGCCUAAGGGUGUCAGGGCUAGUCAAGUAACUAAUCUUCUGAUUUUUAUUCUGACGAUUCCUUUACACAGAAGAUUUUUUUUACUCAUCAUCUUGCUGUUGCCAAGUAAAAAAACUUUUCAAGAUUACAAAUUAUAUUGAAUUUUAUAAUUGAGAGUUUAUUUAUUGAUGUGCAAUGUGAUAUUUAGUCUGUGGGUUCUUUUAUCUAGAUUCUUUUAUUUUCAGAUACUUUAGAAAUCCGAUCAUCCCCUGUCCCUGGUCUAGCUCCAGCACAGCCAGCAACAAAAAUGUUUGAUUUUACAGUGUUAUCUACAGAAUCACCACAAGCAAACUCGUGCCUUCUUAGUUGGAAAGGAUGUCGUGACUGUACUGUAGGACAUGUACCGUCAGAUGAGGAGGUAUGACUUUUACUUUGUCAAAAUGGACAUAUGCAGCAAUCAGUAUUUACAUUCCAAUUUCAUAUCUUUUUUGUCUGGCUGGAUUUCAAAAUCCCAAAUAGGCUCACAGUAAAGUGAUGUCGUGGGUUGGUGGGUGGGGAAAAGUGGUUACCUAAUUCAUGUAUAAAUCAAAUUUUUAAAUCAACUCUUUAUAUAGUUUUCAACCUAGAUCCCUGAACUCACAGGAAGAUUGCUUGUUUGUUGGUAUAAAUCAGGUAUAUCGUGUGAUGAGUUUUCAGAUUCGUCUUUCAAUAACUUCCUGUUGACCAUCAAGUUUUUGGGCAGUGCAGUAGCUCACAGAUUCACUUGUUGACAUCUAUUUAAAAUAUAACCUAGAUAAGAUUAAUUUGAAUCAAAAUAUCUGCUUCAGGACAGUAAAUGUACUUUUUAAGAUUCUUUUGAAAUAUAACCCAGAUAAGAUUAAUAUGAACCAAAAUAUCUGUUUCAGGACAGUGAAUGUACUUUUCGUUUUGAACAGAGUGUUGAUGUAGCUAUCAAGACAAACAUGACAAUACAGAAUGUGCAGGAUGCAAAGACUUACACAGCUUACAAAUGUUCUCAUUCAUGACAGCACUUCUACAGUAUCAGGACGUACAAUUGGAUUAUCUCCCCUGUAUGUCAUUAUCUCCCUUUGGAACAAAAUAGGCUGUGCUGUAUCAUUGUCAUCUUCUAAUCAAACAUUUUUUUUUCAGACAUUUUUUUCUAUUUAGAACUCAGAUUGUUAGAUUGAACUUUAUAAUAUUUUUUGCCUUGUUAAAUUGG